CUGUGGGGAGAGAAGAAUAAGUGCGGGCUAAUACUCCGCAUGAUGACGGUAUCUCCUUAGCAAGCACCGGCUAACUCUGUGC
Molecule: ribosomal RNA, 82 nt
Filed under: uncultured bacterium
Lineage: Bacteria
Description: partial 16S ribosomal RNA
Source: RNAcentral